This 270-nucleotide ribosomal RNA is filed under the name Triticum aestivum (bread wheat). RNAcentral's name for it is "partial small subunit ribosomal RNA". Lineage: Eukaryota; Viridiplantae; Streptophyta; Magnoliopsida; Poales; Poaceae. The record is from RNAcentral.
UGUAGUCUCAACGAUGAUGCAUACAUGUCCACUAUGGAUGUUGAGUCCAAUAAUUCGCAUUGGUCUCAAACCAAUGACACCCAUUUCGAAGACCAUGAGUUUGAGGUGGACAAGGAGUGUGAGGGAAUUGUCGAGGCGCCGAAAGGAAGAGCGGGCAAUUACUCAACCAACGAUGACAAGUUACUAUGCCAUACUUAUUUGCAAGUGUCGAGGGAUCCAUCCAUUGGAGGUGAUCAAAGUAGAGACACGUAUUGGGGGCAAAUGAAAUAA